UCAAUUUUAAUUGUAAAUCCAAAAGGAUCCUUCAUCAAAUGCUAAGUGAAGACUUUAAAAUAACCUGCUGGCCGGACUUGUUCUCUUUAUUGUCUGUGGGCCUCGGCUGGAAGUGGAAAUACUUCUCCUCUGUGGCCACCUGUUUCCGAGGAGCUCAGUGUUUGUGAUGACAAGGAAGCCCAGAGGCUGAAAAUAGAGCUGAUUUCCCAGAAUCUCAGGUACCAUGAUCCAAGGCACAGAUUCAGAUGCUUAUGGACGUACUGUCAGGAGUGUACAGCUGUGAUCAUUUGAAGGAGGAAAAAGGCACUGUCGCUCUCAGCAAGAAUGCCAGUGACCUACAUCUCCACCAGAUUAGGGGCCAGUGCAUGGUCCUCAUCUCAUCUGGCCUCCCAGUGGCACUGAACAUGUUUGAUCACUCUGUGGUAGAUUGAAUUAUUGUCUUAAUGCUUGUCACACCUCCCUGUGUUCACAUGCCUUUCUGUGUGAUAUGACAGCCCGUCCCACUACAGGUUGUUCUUCUUAGCAUCUUCUGUGCUGGCUUUUCCUCCACCAGAUCUCUAAAUUUUGGAGUGGUUGCAGUCUCAGCCUUCUCUGUCUUACCUUUACUCCAAUAAGUGGAAAUAUCCAGGCCACAAAUUUGAAUACUAUCAGCGUGCUGGUUCUCAAAAUUUAAGUCCAAAAGCAAGAUGCCCCUGACCUCUAGACUCAAACGCGUCUACACAUACCCACCUGAGGUCUGAUAGGUCUUGGCAUGUCAAAAAGAACUAUUGCCCCCACCCCCAACACACGCAUCUUAUCCACCUCGGAGUCAUCCUCAACUCCUCUCUUGUCAUGGGUCAGAUCAUCAGUAAGUCCUGUGUACCACACCUCCAAAACUGGUCCAGAAACCAGGACCACAUCUUACCAUCUCCACAGCCCCAGCCCUGCUUUUAUCUCCUCUUGCCAGGAUGUUUGCAACCACAUCUUAACUGUCCUCCUCAGCUCCUACCUCGUCCACGCG
Molecule: long non-coding RNA, 1000 nt
Organism: Phyllostomus hastatus (greater spear-nosed bat)
Lineage: Eukaryota; Metazoa; Chordata; Mammalia; Chiroptera; Phyllostomidae
Exons: 5
Source: RefSeq, a predicted model, not a curated record